This is a long non-coding RNA of Apus apus (common swift), 314 nucleotides long. RefSeq lists it as uncharacterized. The transcript is spliced from 3 exons. The record is from RefSeq and is a predicted model, not a curated record. Lineage: Eukaryota; Metazoa; Chordata; Aves; Apodiformes; Apodidae.
CCACAGCAAGCUUCCAGAUUUGCUCUCUAAAUGGGACUUAGACCUAAAGAAGUUGCAUCAGGUUCAUUGUUACUCAGGAUGCGUGAGCAGCACCCAGCUUCCCUGCCUGCCAAAGUGAGUGUUAAUUACUGCAAAUCAAACAGCAACUUCUUCAGAGCACAGUGAAGUCUUUAAAUACCUCCACACGCAGGUGGCACAGCACGUCGUGUUCAGGUGAUACAUUGCAGGACUAUGUGGAGCUGUUUGCAUCUGUUGGACCAUUUACUCAAGAGACCAGCAAAACCACAAACACCAGCAGUGGAAGGAUUAGUGAG